GAAAUGCGAUAAGUAGUGUGAAUUGCAGAAUUCAGUGAAUCAUCGAAUCUUUGAACGCACAUUGCGCCCCUUGGUAUUCCAUGGGGCAUGCCUGUUCGAGCGUCAUUUGUACCCUCAAGCUCUGCUUGGUGUUGGGUGUUUGUCCCGUCUCCGCGCGUGGACUCGCUCCAAAGUGAUUGGCAGCCGGCGUACUGGUCCCGGAGCGCAGCACAUGUCGCGCAAACGAGUGCCUUGGUACGGCGGCGUCCAUAAGCCCCUCUCUCACGCUCUUGACCUCGGAUCAGGUAGGGAUACCCGCUGAACUUAAGC
Molecule: unclassified non-coding RNA, 309 nt
Filed under: plant metagenome
Description: partial contains 5.8S ribosomal RNA, internal transcribed spacer 2, and large subunit ribosomal RNA
Rfam family: 5.8S ribosomal RNA (bases 1-105)
Source: RNAcentral